AGAAACCAACAGGGAUUGCCCUAGUAACGGCGAGUGAAGCGGCAACAGCUCAAAUUUGAAAUCUGGCGCAAGCCCGAGUUGUAAUUUGUAGAGGAUGCUUCUGGGUAGCGGCCGGUCUAAGUUCCUUGGAACAGGACGUCAUAGAGGGUGAGAAUCCCGUAUGUGACUGGCUUGCACCCUCCACGUAGCUCCUUCGACGAGUCGAGUUGUUUGGGAAUGCAGCUCUAAAUGGGAGGUAAAUUUCUUCUAAAGCUAAAUACCGGCCAGAGACCGAUAGCGCACAAGUAGAGUGAUCGAAAGAUGAAAAGCACUUUGGAAAGAGAGUUAAAAAGCACGUGAAAUUGUUGAAAGGGAAGCGCCCGCAACCAGACUUUGCGGCGGUGUUCGGCUGGUCUUCUGACCGGUUUACUCGCCGCCGUGAGGCCAUCAUCGUCUGGGACCGCUGGAUAAGACCUGAGGAAUGUAGCUCCCUUCGGGGUGUGUUAUAGCCUUUGGUGAUGCAGCGCGUCUCGGGCGAGGUCCGCGCUUCGGCAAGGAUGAUGGCGUAAUGGUUGUCGGCGGCCCGUCUUGAAACACGGACCAAGGAGUCUAACAUCUAUGCGAGUGUUCGGGUGUUAAACCCCUACGCGUAAUGAAAGUGAACGGAGGUGGGAACUUUUUGUGCACCAUCGACCGAUCCUGAUGUCCUCGGAUGGAUUUGAGUAAGAGCAUAGCUGUUGGGACCCGAAAGAUGGUGAACUAUGCCUGAAUAGGGUGAAGCCAGAGGAAACUCUGGUGGAGGCUCGCAGCGGUUCUGACGUGCAAAUCGAUCGUCAAAUUUGGGUAUAGGGGCGAAAGACUAAUCGAACCAUCUAGUAGCUGGUUCCUGCCG
Molecule: ribosomal RNA, 871 nt
Filed under: Pseudocercospora tereticornis
Lineage: Eukaryota; Fungi; Ascomycota; Dothideomycetes; Mycosphaerellales; Mycosphaerellaceae
Description: eukaryotic LSU rRNA
Rfam family: Eukaryotic large subunit ribosomal RNA
Source: RNAcentral